AUUGAACGCUGGCGGCAGGCCUAACACAUGCAAGUCGAACGAGUGGCGGACGGGUGAGUAAUGUCUGGGAAACUGCCCGAUGGAGAGGGAUAAAUACUGGAAACGGUAGCUAAGACCGCGUACCAUCGGAUGUGCCCAGAUGGGAUUAGCUUGUAGGUGGGGUAAAGGCUCACCUAGGCGACGCUCCCUAGCUGGUCUGAGAGGAUGACCAUCCACACUGGAACUGAGACACGGUCCAGACUCCUACCCUGCACAUCAGUUAACAAUAUUGCACAAUGGGCGCAAGCCUGAUUCAGCCAUGCCGCGUGUAUGAAGAAGGCCUUCGGGUUGUAAAGUACUUUCAGCGGGGAGGCGUUACCCGCAGAAGAAGCACCGGCUAACUCCGUGCCAGCAGCCGCGGUAAUAC
Molecule: ribosomal RNA, 406 nt
Filed under: uncultured bacterium
Lineage: Bacteria
Description: partial 16S ribosomal RNA
Rfam family: Bacterial small subunit ribosomal RNA
Source: RNAcentral